GAUGAAGAACGUAGCGAAAUGCGAUAAGUAAUGUGAAUUGCAGAAUUCAGUGAAUCAUCGAAUCUUUGAACGCACAUUGCGCCCGCCAGUAUUCUGGCGGGCAUGCCUGUUCGAGCGUCAUUUCAACCAUCAAGCCCCCGGCUUGUGUUGGGGACCUGCGGCUGCCGCAGGCCCUGAAAACCAGUGGCGGGCUCGCUAGUCACUCCGAGCGUAGUAAUACAUCUCGCUCAGGGCGUGCUGCGGGUUCCGGCCGUUAAAAAGCCUUAUUUCCCCAAGGUUGACCUCGGAUCAGGUAGGAAGACCCGCUGAACUUAAGCAUAUCAAUAAGCGGAGGA
This 335-nucleotide unclassified non-coding RNA is filed under the name soil metagenome. Its description in RNAcentral is "partial contains 5.8S ribosomal RNA, internal transcribed spacer 2, and large subunit ribosomal RNA". The stretch from base 1 to 120 matches the Rfam family "5.8S ribosomal RNA", at positions 35 to 154 of the family's 154-position model. The record is from RNAcentral.